AUAACRACUCUSGGCAACGGAUAUYUAGGCUCUCGCAUCGAUGAAGAACGUAGCGAAAUGCGAUACUUGGUGKGAAUUGCAGAAUCCCGUGAACCAUCGAGUUUUUGAACSCAAGUKGCGCCCGAAGUCAUUAGGCCGAGGGCACGUCUGCYUGGGSGUCACGC
RNAcentral lists this ribosomal RNA (164 nucleotides) under Scrophularia taygetea. Its description in RNAcentral is "5.8S ribosomal RNA". It matches the Rfam family "5.8S ribosomal RNA". Rfam says of the family: 5.8S ribosomal RNA (5.8S rRNA) is a component of the large subunit of the eukaryotic ribosome. It is transcribed by RNA polymerase I as part of the 45S precursor that also contains 18S and 28S rRNA. Functionally, it is thought that 5.8S rRNA may be involved in ribosome translocation. The record is from RNAcentral. Lineage: Eukaryota; Viridiplantae; Streptophyta; Magnoliopsida; Lamiales; Scrophulariaceae.